GAGGAAACCAAAUUUUGUGUUUCCUCGGAAUAUCCUCGGAAAUUCCUCGGGAUAUUCCGAGGAUUUCAUUUUCCGUCGGAAUGUCCGUCAGAAUACCGCUGUUUUCUUGUAGUGAUGUACCUUAUGAGAAAGCCAAACCUCAGAGAGAAAAAAAAAGAGAAAGAGGUUUCUUUGGUGUUUGUUACUGCUUGGUGUUGAAGUACAUCCUGAAGCAUUGUCUGAUGGAGUCCGAUGUGGACUUAGUUUGGUGGCGUUGGAGUUGACGCUUUGUGUGGUGGAGUUAGCCAUAGUGUGGAGCUCGUGGUGAGCUGGUGCAUUGUAGAUGACAUGCUUAUGGUGUCACUAGUGUGUGUUGGGUGCUGACGUACUUGGUGAAGUAUCUUCAGAGAAAUUGAAGCCUAGACUCAGAGGGAGUUUAGCACAUGCGGUUUCAUUAUGAUGGUCUAUGAAGAUUACAAUUGUAGAAAACAGUGAGCUUCGGUACACUGGAUGGUGAUCUAUGCAUGUGUGUUUGAUUCCUAUUUUUCAUAGAGUAUUUACUUAGAAAAUAAUGGUAGGCGCAAGUAUGUGUUGUACCAUAUAUCAAUUGUAGGUUGAUUCUUGUUCUAAAUCAAUGAAAUAUGGAUAAAAUCCCGGAAAUGUAAGAAACGGACCUUGUUAACUAAUUUUAUGUGUUCUUACUUUCUGCAUUAAUUUCGAGCCUCAUCUGCACUAACACAUCAGCCUCUAAGUAAAAGACGUGUGCACUUCCUCUCCGGAACCUGGGCUAGAAACUUAGGGUGUUGGUGUUUCCGGCUGAAGAUAAGUCGUCGAAUAUAUAAUUUAUGGUACACCAUCAUGAACCAGCGGUUCAACCAAGACUAGUUUACAUCAAGAAUUCUUUAAUCGAAUUAACUUCGUUAACCAGAUGCACUUUCCCGGUUUGGAACAAGAUUACCAGAUUCUUUCUCACACUUGGACUUCAUAGUAUCGUUUGUAUGUAAACUAUUUUUUUACCAAAUUUAUGUGUCGAUUCCUAGAUUGUGAUUGAUAGAGAACUCAAUAUCAUUUGGUGAAUUGUGGCGUUGCGCCUUAAUUAAGCUUCUGAAAGAGAACAGACUACAGACAAGGUAUUUAAAGAUCAAAACCGAAACAUUAAUUAAAGAUAGGUCACAAAAAAGAUUAACCCAAAACGUUCAACACCUAAAAAUCUUUUGGCCUUUUUCUUAGUCGUCGUGUCAUUAUUACUCGACCCUGUUGGAUUCGAACCAAGCUUGCAACAUAAUUGUAAAUAAGUGGUCUCAAAAACAGUAAUCUAGUUUCUCCUACGGUUAUUUUCAUGAACCGGUUGUCCUCUCCAACAAUGUAUACCAUGUCCCUAUUCAUGCUGCGCCUAUAUUCCAGAUCGCAUAACACGGCCGCUUUCUUCUUCUCGUCCAUAAGAAAGUCGUCCCACUUGAAAAACGCUUUUGAGGAUUAUUCUCAUCUUGUUCCACUGACAAAAACUUGCUCCACGACAAAUCUUUUGUCUGACCAAUAUUAUCAUCUGUCGUCAUCCAUAUCUCAAUGUUUUUUAGUGGACGGGAAAUGUUGCUAUAUAAUACAGACAGCCCUUCUUCUCUAACAACUGAGAGAGCUCUAGGAACACAAUCCUCACCAAAAUCGGAAAAGGAAUAGACAUCCACUUAAACCUCUCUGCAGAAAAAUCGAAACUAAGUAAGCGAUCUUCUUCAUAUUUUUUAUCGGCAAUCCAAUAAAGUAUUCCCCUUCAAAGACACUCCCGUUGAUAUUAUGGUUCCUUUUUUGAAAAUGAGAUCAUCAAGAUCCCUCCACCAAUGAGACCCAAAAUCAUAGUUGCUACAUUUAAUAACUCGAUGUUUUAGGGCAAGCUUAUCCCAGCUGUACCUUGUUUGAUCGGGAAAAGGUACUAAACGGCGAGACGUUUGGUUUUAAAUGUGGGUUAAGCAAAUAUGUCUUAUAGAUGGUCGGAAAAGCGUUUAGUCGGUUACAAGGAAAGGAGAUGCGUAAGAGAAAGGAUACAAUACGGCAAGAGAAUAAAGGUAAAACCUUAAUCUAGCCGCCGGUAUGGGUGGGUGAUUUCGGAUCCUCUUUACGUCAGCACCCUCCUCUCCUUAUAUAGCUGACCUGGUGCUCCUUAGUGACCUAGCUCGCGUCGUCUUCGUGGGCUUUUAACUCGUUGGGCCGAGAAGUCCAUGUUGCUUCGAGGAGCCGCCGACACUAGUAGAAAACUUCGAAAUACACACGUUUUUGACACAGUAGGAUCGUGACUUAUUUUGUGUUAGUCACGACAAAGUCACAUUUAGUCACGAAAUAGGACAACGUGACAAUCUGUGUCUUUUUCAUGGCAAAAUAGACACGAAUCGGUCACAUAUGUUUUCGUGACUAAACGUAGUCACGAUUUGUCACAAACUAUUCGUGACUAAAAUGUCACGUUUUUGAAACCGUGUAUAAACCGUGGCUUUAAGAGUCACGAAAUGACACUAGAUAAACCGUGACCAAGACAAUGUCUAAUCAAAUAAUCGUAAACUUUAGCCUCACUUUAUUUCGUGAUUAAAGUGAGACUUUUCCAACAAGAAAAUGUCAUAGACUUUACAUCAAAGUCAGAAAACGGGACUGUUUUGGCUGGGAAUAUAUUCGAAUUUGGUUGGUCACAGUAGCCAUCGUGACAAAAACAUGUCAUAUCUAGUCACUGUUUCAUUAUUGUGACAAUUUCCGUGACUAAAACAACACAAAACAAACACUUUCGUGGAAAUGAAGAACACAAUAUCAAACAAAGAAAACCUCUCCCCUCAAUAUUUUUUUGUGUUCUUGACAAAUUAGUGAACGUCUUUUCUCAACUCUUUCUUGUGUAUUCCAUAAUUUCAAUGUCUCAUUUCUUUUAAUCAAGAGAGUGGAUGGAUCGACAUUUGGAUCCAAUCCGAAAUUGUGUUUCUGAAGAAUUUAUGGAGGGAAUUGAAGUGUUUCUUGCUUUUGCUUGUAAUCAAGAGUCUUACCAAGGAACAAGCACUAUGUUGUGUCCGUGUGCACGAUGCAAGAACCGGAAACAACGCGAUGCAAAGACGGUUUCUAAACAUCUUUUCCGAGUAGGAUUUACGGGGAAUUAUUAUGUUUGGUCAAGUCAUGGAGAAAGCUGUUACAAUGUUGGACAAUCUUCGGGGACAAGUCAUUUCUAUGGAGAAGAAGCACCAGAAGAAGCAGAAGGUACAAACUAUCAAAUUCCAAACGAAAUGUACAUUAAUAAUCCAUUUUCCAAUAUAAAUAUAAAUUUGGAAGAAGAGGUUGAAGUAACCUCUACAUUGGAGUAUGUGGUGGAAGCGGGUAAUGAAGAAACAUAUCACGAUAACGUUUUUAGAGCCUAUGAAGAUGCAAGCCAACCACUUUAUGACGGAUGUUCUGAAGGAAUUUCUCAACUAUACUUGGCUUCACGAUUGAUGAAAGCAAAAACCGAUUACAAUUUGCCGGAAGCUUGUAUCGAUGAGAUAUCACAAACUUUUAAAGAUGUUCUACCGAAGCCGAAUAAAGCGCCAUCAUCUUAUUAUGAAACGAAGAAGCUGGCCCGAUCACUUGGCCUCCCUGUUGUGAAGAUUGAUAUUUGUGAGGAUAACUGCAUGUUGUUUUGGAAAGAAGAUAAAGAGCUUUUGGCAUGUCGGUUUUGUGGUAAAGACAGAUACCAUCCAAACAGAGGAAGAGGAAAAAACCGUCCUAAACAGAGGAUGUUUUAUAUGCCGAUUACGGAACGGCUGAAACGUCUAUACCAAGUAGAGACAACUGCAUCACAUAUGCGAUGGCACGCAGAGCAUAAUUCUCCUGAAGGCGAAAUGCAUCACCCGUCAGAUGGAGCGGCAUGGAAGCAUUUUAAUGGGGUAUAUCCUCAAUUCGCUGCUGAAAGUCGUAACAUUUAUUUAGGCUUAUCGACAGAUGGAUUUAAUCCUAUCGGUAUGAAUGGUGAAGCACAUUCGAUUUGGCCCGUUAUCGUAACUCCAUAUAACUUACCACCUGGUAUGUGUAUGAAAAGGAAAUAUUUAUAUCUGUCGAUACUAGUUCCCGGGCCAAAACAUCCGAAAAAAAGUAUAGAUAUUUAUCUUCAGCCGCUGAUUGGAGAAUUACAAAGUUUAUGGAGUGAGGGGGUGGAAGCUUAUGAUAUCUCAAAGAAAGAAAGAUUCACAAUGCGAGCUGCACUGAUGUGGACAAUAAGCGACUUUCCAGCAUAUGCAAUGCUUUCUGGUUGGAUGACGCACGGUAGAUUAGCGUGUCCAUAUUGUUUAGAUGAUACAAAGGCUUUUUGGUUACAAAAUGGAAGGAAACAUAGUUGGUUUGAUUGUCACAGAAUGUUUUUGCCUCAGAAUCAUCCUUACCGGCGAAAUGUUAACACGUUUCGGCGGGGACAAACAGUAACAGAUGAUCCACCCCCGUGGUUGAUUGGAGAAGAAAUUCUUCGUGAAAGAAUAAACAACAUUAAGGGGUUGUCCAAAACAGUUGAUUGUGGAGGAAAAGGCCACGAGAAGGCUGCACAGACGAUAUCUGGCUAUGGAAAGGAUCAUAACUGGGUGAAGAAGAGUAUUUUUUGGGAUUUGCCAUAUUGGGAGUACCUUCUUCUUCGACACAACAUUGACUUCAUGCAUGUGGAGAAAAACUUUUUUGAUAAUCUCACCAACACUGUGUUGAAUGUUCCUGGAAAGACGAAAGAUAACAUUAAAUCGAGGAUGGAUCUCCCUAAUAUAUGUAGAAGACAAUCUCUACAUUUAAACGAAGAUGGAACUAUGCCUGUGCCGAUAUUUAGGUUGUCAAAUGAAGAAAUAAGGCAAUUUCUCUCAUUGCUGAAGAAUGAUAUAAAAUUUCCAGAUGGAUACGCUUCAAAAUUUAGUCGGUGCAUUGAUGAAUCAAAUAUGAAGCUAUCAGGGUUGAAAAGUCAUGAUUGUCAUGUUAUUAUGCAACGUCUUUAUCCAUUUGCAUUUCGUGAACUCCUUCCGAAACAUGUUCAUACCGCAAUUUCAGGUUAUUACUUAAUUAUAAGAUUUGUUGAACUAUAUUUUUUUUAUUUAAUAUUUCUUACGUACUAAUAAUUGUAUUUAAAUUUGCAGAGAUUGCACUUUUCUUUCGUGAUAUCUCAGCAAAGAUAUUGCGCACCGAAGAUGUUGUCCUUUUGAAAGAAAAUAUAGGGGUGAAGCUUUGUAACUUGGAGAAGAUAUUUCCUCCAUCGUUCUUUGAUGUUAUGGAACAUCUUCCUGUGCAUCUACCAGAUGAAGCUGCUUUAGGUGGUCCUGUCCAAUAUAGAUGGAUGUAUGUCUUCGAAAGGUACAUGUAUCAUCUGAAAAAGAUGGUAAAAAACAAGGCAAAUAUUGCAGGGUCCAUUGUUGCACAAUGUUUGAAUGAGGAGAUGUCAACUGCAUCUGCAACUUACUUUGGUCAUCCAGAAGUAAUAGAAGAAGCUUCCAUUCGAGGAAAAAUUCGAUUUACUUAUACUUAUGAAGAUGUGCCAAAUUUGUUUUAUCAUGAAGGUCGGGUCAGUGGAAAAGCCACCACGAGAUGGCUAACAGAUGUUGACUUCACCGUCUUGCAAACAUUUAUGUUGCUCAAUUGCGAUGUGUUUGAACCUUAUGAAAGGAUGUUUGAUGAGUUCGUGAUGGAAGCAAACCCAAAUAUUACUAGUAAUGAUCUACAGAGAGCGAAAGAUCAACAUUUUGCAAAAUGGGUGAAAGACUUCAUUACAAAUGCCAGUGAAACAUAUGAGUUCCCUUUAUGGAUGUUGGAUUUCAUUCAAGGACCGCAUCGUAACUAUACAUCGUGGCCGAUAUAUUUCUCGCGAGGAUAUUGCUUCCACACACAUAGCCAUGGCCAAGAUAAAAAUACCCAACAUUAUGGUGUGUAUGUACGUGGAACCACAGAGACCGAGUAUUAUGGGCUGAUAGAAGAAAUCAUGAUGAUCGAGUACGGUGGUGCUGUUGGCUUGAAAGCCAUGAUUUUCAAAUGCAAGUGGUUUGAUACAGUAGUGGGUCGUGGAAUGCGUAAGCAUAAGUCGGGGAUCGUUGAUGUGUCCCCCCGUGGCCAAUAUGAGAAAUAUGAUCCUUUUAUACUGUCUGGUAAUUGUGAUCAAGUAUGUUUCAUUCCUUAUCCGCGUGUGCGUCGUACAAAUGUGACAGACUGGUGGGCAUGCACAAAAGUUUUGCCUCGAGGGGUAAAUGAAACAUCUGAAGUUGCUCUAACAGCAUUGCAAGAUGAUACACGUAACGAUGUUGUUGCACCGAGUGAGAUGAUACGAAUUGAAUCAUAUGUCGUGGAAGAUGAUUCUGGUUAUGAUGUCUUACCGGUGGCUCCUCCUAACGAUGAAUAUGUAUCAGAAGACGAGUUAGAAGAUUCGUGUGCCGACUCUGAUUCGGACUCCGAUUCUGAUUAAGGUAAUAUGUAGUUGUGAUAUGUAUUUGAAAUUUGAAAUAUUAUUAAUAAAAUAAAUUUUGAUUAUCAUGCUUAUUUGAUUAUUACAAAUAUGUAUCUUGUUUAGGAGUUACAAUUUAGGGAUUAUAUUUUUAAAGGUUAUAGUUGAAAGGUUGUUGUUUAGUGGUUAUAGUUUGAGGGUUAGGGUUUAGGGAUUAUAGU
RNA transcript from Brassica napus (rape), 6594 nucleotides. RefSeq lists it as uncharacterized. NCBI's taxonomy places the organism in Eukaryota, Viridiplantae, Streptophyta, Magnoliopsida, Brassicales, Brassicaceae. The record is from RefSeq and is a predicted model, not a curated record. The transcript is spliced from 3 exons.